AGUGAACGCUGGCGGUAGGCCUAACACAUGCAAGUCGAACGGCAGCACAGUAAGAGCUUGCUCUUACGGGUGGCGAGUGGCGGACGGGCGAGGAAUACAUCGGAAUCUACUUUUUCGUGGGGGAUAACGUAGGGAAACUUACGCUAAUACCGCAUACGACCUACGGGUGAAAGCAAGGGAUCUUCGGACCUUGCGCGAUUGAAUGAGCCGAUGUCGGAUUAGCUAGUUGGCGGGGUAAAGGCCCACCAAGGCGACGAUCCGUAGCUGGUCUGAGAGGAUGAUCAGCCACACUGGAACUGAGACACGGUCCAGACUCCUACGGGAGGCAGCAGUGGGGAAUAUUGGACAAUGGGCGCAAGCCUGAUCCAGCCAUACCGCGUGGGUGAAGAAGGCCUUCGGGUUGUAAAGCCCUUUUGUUGGGAAAGAAAAGCAGCAGGUUAAUACCCCGCUGUUCUGACGGUACCCAAAGAAUAAGCACCGGCUAACUUCGUG
This 492-nucleotide ribosomal RNA is filed under the name uncultured bacterium. RNAcentral's name for it is "partial 16S ribosomal RNA". It matches the Rfam family "Bacterial small subunit ribosomal RNA", at positions 29 to 507 of the family's 1533-position model. The record is from RNAcentral.